This 235-nucleotide ribosomal RNA is filed under the name uncultured bacterium. RNAcentral describes it as "partial 16S ribosomal RNA". It matches the Rfam family "Bacterial small subunit ribosomal RNA", at positions 99 to 334 of the family's 1533-position model. The record is from RNAcentral.
CGGACGGGUGAGUAACGCGUGGGUAACCUGCCUUGUACUGGGGGACAACAGUUAGAAAUGACUGCUAAUACCGCAUAAGCGCACAGUAUCGCAUGAUACAGUGUGAAAAACUCCGGUGGUACAAGAUGGACCCGCGUCUGAUUAGCUAGUUGGUAAGGCAACGGCUUACCAAGGCGACGAUCAGUAGCCGACCUGAGAGGGUGACCGGCCACAUUGGGACUGAGACACGGCCCAA